This 253-nucleotide ribosomal RNA is filed under the name uncultured bacterium. Its description in RNAcentral is "partial 16S ribosomal RNA". It matches the Rfam family "Bacterial small subunit ribosomal RNA", at positions 524 to 776 of the family's 1533-position model. The record is from RNAcentral.
UACGUAGGGGGCAAGCGUUGUCCGGAAUCAUUGGGCGUAAAGAGCGCGUAGGCGGCCCGAUAAGUCCGCUGUGAAAGUCAAGGGCUUAACCCUUGAAUGCCGGUGGAAACUGUCGGGCUAGAGUCCGGAAGAGGCGAGUGGAAUUCCUGGUGUAGCGGUGAAAUGCGCAGAUAUCAGGAGGAACGCCGAUGGCGAAGGCAGCUCGCUGGGACGGUACUGACGCUGAGGCGCGAAAGCGUGGGGAGCAAACGGG